Molecule: ribosomal RNA, 373 nt
Filed under: uncultured bacterium
Lineage: Bacteria
Description: bacterial SSU rRNA
Rfam family: Bacterial small subunit ribosomal RNA
Source: RNAcentral
ACGGGUGAGUAACGCGUCAGGAAUCUGUCUCCUGGUGGGGAAUAACCGUGGGAAACUACGGCUAAUACCGCAUGAUACCUUCGGGUCAAAGGCGCAAGUCGCCGGGAGAGGAGCCUGCGUCCGAUUAGCUAGUUGGUGGGGUAACGGCCUACCAAGGCUGCGAUCGGUAGCUGGUCUGAGAGGAUGAUCAGCCACACUGGGACUGAGACACGGCCCAGACUCCUACGGGAGGCAGCAGUGGGGAAUAUUGGACAAUGGGCGAAAGCCUGAUCCAGCAAUGCCGCGUGGGUGAAGAAGGUCUUCGGAUUGUAAAGCCCUUUCGGCGGGGACGAUGAUGACGGUACCCGCAGAAGAAGCCCCGGCUAACUUCGUG